UCAUUACACGCUGAUAAAAUUGUUGCCCCUGUUUUUCUACAAAGUCAAUCUACCUGCAGAUGAUUGACUGUUGCUUUGCCAGAUGUCUGGCUUGAAACUUACAGUAAGAAAUAAGAUUAAUUAGAGUGCUGUGUGGUGGUGUUUGAUUAAUUGUAACAUUGAUCACAGAACAUGUGGAGGGAGAGACAGAGUGAAGCUUGAUUGAUGAGUCAAUGUGAUACCAGCUCAAGAUAUUCUCUCUUAAAGCCUGAAGCUCACCAGCUGCUUUUUUCUUUUGUGCCUUAAGUACACAAACACAAUGUGUGUUCAGCGUCCUUUUGUUCCUCACUGUUUUCUUGAAAUACAAGAAUAACAGGGUUUCAAAUAGCGUAGCACCCACUUGGUUCACAUGGGGCUAUCUUCUUCAUGGAAGUUACACCUGGAGCAUGAGACAAUCACAGUGGUUGCUAGGUAACGGAUCUCCUCAUGGUCUCAGCUGUGAGCUUCCAGAGAACCAAGCUUUGCUCAGUGAAUCACUCCCUACACUUGAAACAUGAGUCUCCGUAGUGAAGCCAUGUUUGGCAUCACCUGGAAAUUCCUCGACAUCGUCCUGGAUCCAUUUUCUUCAGAUACAUUUGUCAUCCUGAUUUUUUUCAUAUUUUAAUUUCACUAUUAAUGUAAUUUCAGUCUAUUCUAUAUGAGCAGCUUAUGUUUCUGUAUGCCUCUUUAUUUUCCCAAUUAAAGGGAUUUUUUCUUUACCACAUUAGAGGGUAUAAGGACAGAGGGUGUUAUAUGCUAUUUAGAUUGUUAACACCUUUGAAACAUAUUUGGGGUUGAUGAAUGAAAUUGAGUUGAGUAAAGCGAGGAAAUAUAUUAUUUUGUAAUUUGGGAGAAGUGACCCUUUAAGUAUUUACCCAUGAGGCCCUAAACUGUAAAUUAUUCUUUACAUGUGAUGUCUAAUAAAUAUUUCUUGCCAGUUGCACAGUAGUCAGGGUUUAAAUGAGGCACAUAAGGUGAUCUGGAGGACUACUGCUGAUUUAUCUUGGACUGGGACACUGUUGUGGUGCUACAGUUUGGCACAGCUGCUCUCAUAAAAUGUUUUGAUACCCCCAAUAAGAGUUCAGUGUUUUACUGUGAUUAAAUCCCCCAGGCCUGUUUGCAGUAAAAAUCUC
This is a long non-coding RNA of Micropterus dolomieu (smallmouth bass), 1151 nucleotides long. RefSeq lists it as uncharacterized. The transcript is spliced from 2 exons. The record is from RefSeq and is a predicted model, not a curated record. NCBI's taxonomy places the organism in Eukaryota, Metazoa, Chordata, Actinopteri, Centrarchiformes, Centrarchidae.